RNAcentral lists this ribosomal RNA (119 nucleotides) under Pteropus alecto (black flying fox). The record is from RNAcentral. Lineage: Eukaryota; Metazoa; Chordata; Mammalia; Chiroptera; Pteropodidae.
GUCUACAGCCACACCACCCUGAACAAGCCUGAUCCCGUCUGAUCUCAGAAGCUAAGCAGGGUCGGGCCUGGUUAGUACUUGGAUGGGAGACCACCUAGGAAGACCAGGUGCUGUAGGCA